This is a non-coding RNA of Pelobates cultripes (western spadefoot toad), 234 nucleotides long. The record is from the annotation of a GenBank genome assembly. Lineage: Eukaryota; Metazoa; Chordata; Amphibia; Anura; Pelobatidae.
GGGAACUAGCAAUAAUAGCAUACACUAAGCAAUAUGGCAUAAUAGACAUAACAGAAACAUGGUGGGAUGAAACAGAUUAUUGGGCAGUUAACUUAAAUGGAUACACAUUAUUUAUGAAGGAUAAAAAAAGGAUAGAAGGAUAGACAGUUUAUUGUAGAAACAGCCAGCAUAUAUAGAUCAUAGCAUACAGUAAAACAUAUUGUACAUACAUUUACACCAAUGGGAAUAAAGGAC